RNAcentral lists this long non-coding RNA (4357 nucleotides) under Homo sapiens (human). RNAcentral's name for it is "non-protein coding LINC01531:10". Lineage: Eukaryota; Metazoa; Chordata; Mammalia; Primates; Hominidae. The record is from RNAcentral.
GUGCUGGGAUUAUAGGCAUGAACCACCGCACCUGGCCAGCCCUUCUCUUUUAACCACCAGGAGAAAGAACCUCUCUUCUACUGAUCUUGAACUUGAAGGCUGGUCCCUCUCUUCUGGGGGCCAUUGUGAAGAGAGGCUGCCUAAGCCUGAAGUCAACUUAAAGGAAGGUGAAACAGAGAAAAACCACACAUUCAGGCAUUUGAUGUCCUAAAGCAGAUCUACUCUGGGGAUUUUUAGAUUUGAAAACCAAAUAUUCUCCUUCCUUAGCUUAAAGCAAGUUUGAAGCUGAGAUGGACAUAAUGUAAUUGCUCUGCACAAGCCUGUAUAUUCAUUGCUUUAUGCUCAUCCUUGUUCUAAAGAUUAGCCUUUUGCCCAUUUUCUAAUUGAAUUGCUUGAUUGUGUUUUGUUUUACUAUUGAGUUUUGUGAGACAUUUAUUUAGAGUGUCUCGCUCUGUUGUCCAGGCUGGGGUGCAGUGGCAUGAUCUCAGCUCACUGCAACCUCCGCCUCCCGGGUUCAAGUGAUCCUCCCUCUUCAACCUCCUGAGUAGCUGGGAUUACGAGUGUACACCAUCACACCUGGCUAAUUUUUGUAUUUUUAGUAGAAAUGGGGUUUCACCAUGUUGGCCAGGCUGGUCUCAAACUCCUGACCUCCUCAAGUUGAUCAGCCCACCCCGGCCUCCCGAAGUGUUGGGAUUACAGGCGUGAGCCACUGCACCAGCCAACACUGAGUCGUAUUUCUUUAGAUUUUUGUGAUUGAUGUUCCCAUUAUGCUUCUCUCUCACUGAAUCUCCUACCUUCUUCAUCAGAGGCAGCGUCAUACUGGACUUUAAGUGCAUCCUUCCUGUCCAUGAUUUUAAAUUGUACCUUGCAAAUAUACUUUGCACCUAAACACUGUUUAGUAUUCUUUUGCGUUUUUUCAAAUAUCCAUAAAUACCUAUAGUACAAGUCAUUCUGCAACUAGCUACUUUCUACCCCAAAUCAUCCCUUUGCUAUCUGGCCUCCAUCACUAAACCUUACAUAUCUCAUUGAUUUAUUUUGUCUGCUCUAGCAGUCCAUCAUAUUAAUAAGACGAGUUUUAUUUUUUCCAUUCUACUAUUGAUAGACAUUUAAAUCACUUCCCAUUCUUUGCCAGCAUGACAAUGCUGCUUUGAACAUCCCUGUGUGUGUCUCUUCGCGCACACGUGGAAGAGUUCUUCCACUGGUAGGCACAGCAUUUGCAUUCUCCAUUUCAGUAAAAGCUGCCAAGGUCCUCUUCAACGUGAUGGCGUAAAUCCAGCUCUUUCUGCAAGAAGGCUCACCAGCCUUCCCACCAGCUCUUCUCCCCACCCCAGCCCUGCAGCCCUGCAGCCUGACCCUAGGUAAUGAGUGGUGGGGAGUGACCCAGGCAUGCACGACCUGCCCAGAGGAAAGGGAGUUCAAAGAAGGACCCGAGACCCUCACAGGAACCUAGCAGAUUGGCACAAGUGCCAGAUGUAUCCAGGACAGACACUUUCCCCAGGACUCCAGGGGUAAAGGAGUGCCCCACCUCUCCACUCCUUGCCUUUCUUAACUGAAUUCAGAUUGUCGUGAACAUUCAAGAAAAGCAUUGUGGCUGACUUCCAAGGUUACUACUUGAGUCCAUCACUACAGCAGUUACUACUCUUACUGCUCCAGACCGUCAUUACAGCAGUUACUACUGUUACCACUUGAGACCAUCCUUACAAGACUGAAGGAAGGGAGGAACGUAGAAAUGAAAACCAAGGAAAAAAAGAAACUGCUUUAAGUAAAGGCUAGCAUGGGGAAGAAGAGAGCUCCCCGCUUCUAGUGAGCAAAGGCAGCCCCCUUAUUUAUUGGGUAACAAGAGCACGAGGAGGUGGCAACAAUUGGUCAGCUGCUUAAUUGAUCAGAGGUUCAUGUUGUUACUGACAGGCUUCUAUUAUGCCUAAUCAUAAGAAACAUUUGUUCAGCUUCCAACAAAGCUGAAGUUUAAAUGAUGCAAUUACAUUCAGCACAGAGGAGUAUCUCCCCCAAUCCCACCAUAUAAAGAGAAAGCACAUGCAUGCAGGAGAGAAACAGUGAAUGGAAGGCUAGGAAAUCUUGGUCUUGGAGGAGAGUGCAGAUUGGAGAUAGAGGGAAGGGGAAAAUAAGAUGCUGGGAUCUUGAGGGAGGAUGUGGGGUGGUGGCCAAGCUCCCUGGUUCAUGGGGAUGAGAAUGAAGCCUCUGUUGGCUCUGGGUCAUGUGACAUGGGCCAAGAUAAGACAUGGUUCCUGCAGAGAGAUGGAGCGUGGUCUGUCUGUCUUGUGCUCAUGUGUCUGUGUCAAAUGGCUUCCGAGGGAACUAGAGCCACUUAGGUCUAUGUGGUUUAAGGAAAGCACAAGUGAAAAGAAGCCAGGAAUAGUGCAGAGGUAGGGGAUGGGACACCAAGACAUGAGGCCAGAGUGUGAGACAGAAUCAGAGCUCCUGCCUGCAGAGAAUGAUGGGCUGUGUGAGGAGCCCUGGCCCUCUGCGGACAUUUUAAUAAGUGGCCCCACUUUCUUAGGUGCUCAUGUGUCCGGGGAUUCUAGGGAGGUUUUGUGAGGCUGAGCUAAAAAAAAUAACCAAUUCCAGCUAGGCACAGGGGCUCACGCCUGUAAUCCCAGCCCUUUGGGAGGCUGGGGUGUGAGGAUUGCUUAAGGCCAGGAGGUCAAGGCUACAGUGAGCCAUGAUUGUGCCGCUGCACUCCAGCCUGAGCAAGAGGGUGAGACCCUGUCUCAAGAAACAAGCAAACAAAAAUAACCUAUUCCACUUUGACCCUGAAUAGGGAAAACUGACCAAACAAGGAGAGUAGCCAGAGGCAGGGAUGGAAGCAUAGGAGAAACUGGCAGUGGACAAGCUCCUUUGGAAUAAUCCACCAAGAGAGGAAAUGAAACAGAAUGCCUGAAUGAAUUAUGAAAGCAGAACAAAGUCUGAAAGAAUAAUCAGGGCUUGAGAUCUAGAAAGGAUCAAUGAGAUUUGUGGGAACAGACUUUCAGGGGAAACACAGAGGGCUAAGCGGCCUGAGAAACAGCUCAACUCUUGACCUUCCUCUUCCUGACACAUAGCAAGCUCAAGUGUAAAAGUUCUUGGUUCCUGGGGGAUCCCGAAAUGGCAGAGGUGGCUGUAUCUAUGCACCUUAUUCAACAAGUUGGUAAAAGUCCACUUAAGGCUGAUCACCAAGAGCUGCCUGCUUAGAAACAGGAGGAAGCUAGAUACCUAAAAUACUCCCAGCACGUCCUGGGAGAUGACACCCUAAGCUCUCACCUGGGAAAGGAAAAGGAUGAGAGACCCAGGUGACUGCAGGUUCACCUUGCUGGGGAACAAGGUUUUCUCACCUUCAUUUCCAGUGCGGGAGGGAAACCAGAAUAGCAAAAGAUCAAGAAAACUGAACAAAAACUAGAAGAGAAAUUGGUGGAGGGAUGACAGAGGUUGAAAUGGGAAGGCACCAAGCAGAAUCAGGUAUCCUCUACAGAGCAGAGAAUUGCCCUGAGCACAGAAUGCUAUAUCAUUUUCUCAAAGUCACAGAGCUGGGAAUUGCCAACAGUGGGACUGGGAUCCAGAUCUGCUCCCCUCAUUACUUAUUCUCCCUGGAUUUCUCUUCAGAGUGGAGCAAUGCCCUGGCAUUCAACUCGUCUGUGAUAUGACAGUCCUCACACUCUGUGUAGUGACCUACUAUGAGUGGUACCUGGGCGCUGCCUGCCUAGAAUUCAUCCCUCCUUCUUCUGGUAGCAGCAUCCCAAUUUUCCUCUAGUUAACCACUCCCCCUCUACUCUUGGUCUGUGGGAUGUGGGGAGGGGGACAGGGGGAGAAGGGGAGGUUGGCCCCAUUAUCACUGCAGGGCAUGCAACCCAGACUUGGCAAUCUCAGUCCAUCUAGAGUCAAUCUUUUCUAGACUCUUCUAGACUAAUUCAGAAAGCAGCUUUCUCUUUCCACAGGGUGGUUAGGAAGGUAGAAGGUAAUCCUGGAGCUUCCCGCCACCACGCAGGAGGAAUUUGCCUGAGAGCAAAGCCAGCAUAGAGAAGCAGAGCUGAGUCAUGGAGACAGGUGGCUGAAAGUUUCAUUUCGGCAUAUGGAUCUCACCAUUCCUGAAGCCACUUUCAACUCUUCAAUUUCAUAGCUAAUAAAUUCUCAUUUUUGCACAAUUAGCUGAAGCAAGGUUUUUUGUUACCUGGAAGCAAUGAAUGCAAAUGUUUUUUAGGUAAUUUGUUAAUAGUAAUAAAAGAUAAAGAAUAUAAUAAUAAAGAAUAGGGGCAUUUCCAGGGCCGGGCACAGUGGCUCACACCUGUAAUCCCAGUACUUUGGGAGGCCGAGGCGGGCAGAUCACUUGAGGUCAGGAGUUGGAGAACAGCCUGGCAAAACCCCG